GCUUGAAUGUGUUGUUAAUUUCACGUGCCAUCGGGGUGAAUAGAUAUGAAAAGGAAUAAUUUGAUGAAAACAUCCAUGCUUUAGUAUUAUAAUUAUUUUAACAAUGAUGAAGUUUUAUUAUGGGAAAAGAACCCUGUUUUCUCCUUCUCUGCCACUUUUUUUGGUAUUAUGGAAUAUUCACAAUUUGAGAGAAAUCACCCCUUCACGAGAGUCAUCUUAUCUACAACCCCUAAGCGAAUUGCUUUUCCCACUAUCUAAUUUAUCCAAAGAACAUCUCCCUGGUCAGUAUUACAAGCCAUUUUUAUUAUUUUCCUACACUUGUUUAUUAAGCAUUUUGCACGUCAUGUUUUGUCAACAGGAAAGGAAAAGUCACAUCCAAUUUUUUCUUUCUUUUUUUCCUCUCCUGCUCUAUUACAAGAUUGAAAACCUAAAGAACGAGAGUUCAAAUCUUGCUUGAAAUACAGACACAUUAUUCUCAACCAGAGAAAUUCUGGAUUUACGUUUCCUUUUCUCGUGGAAAAAUUACUUUAAUUCAAUUUUGGAAAAACCCACACAUUUUACAUGUGUGACCCGUAAAUUUGUCCCUUGAUUCCGUUUAGGUGUUUGGCAAGAGUUCACAGAUUUUGCCAACAACUCUCAAAGAACUGCUUUAACGGUCUAAUUGUUACAAUUUGGUAAUUAGCCAGAGUCGCAUUUCGAAGUGUGACCGAUAAGAUUUGGCAGAGUUAGCCAGUAUUUCAGAAAAUGGACUAGAGUCAUAGAGAUGCUACUAUUGUUCUCGUCUUCACGUUUAUACUUUUACUUUGGACUCCUGAGACGUACGGCUUUUGUGACUCUGCCACAACCUACUAUUCCCAACACAUCCCUGACAGCUGCAAGCAUCUUUGGGGAAGUGUCCCCUCAAGUUCCUGUUUCCAGUCAUUAAUGCAAAAGAAAGAAAAACGCUAGAGGCACUGAGAACCAUCCAACGCUUCAGCUGGCUUCAGCAAUUGCCACUUGCGCAAGACCCGUGUUUGUGAAAGCAACCCAAGAAUCUUUGAACAGGAUGUAAUCAACCUCCGAUCUGCUGAGAAACACUGCAAAAAUGACUUCCCCUGCCAAAAAUAAUAAUGUCGUUUAUGAGCAGCCCUUCCAUGUCUAAGGAAGAAGUAGCCCCACGUGUGAGUUUCUGCUGGCUUCAGAGGAGCAGGCGAAGAAAAGGGCAAAUCCUACCAACCCCAGCCUAAAAUACACGGCAUCAGAACGCACGGCAAGCUGUGGCUCAUUCCAAAGGUGCUGGCAAUAUCCGGGAAGACUCCUAUCCGCAAAAAUCCAAAGGAAUGAACCUGAAGACUGAAACUGCAGCCGCUGUGUGGUGACCCGGAGGGGACAAGGGAGAGGACAAAGGCCCAUGAGAACAUUCGUCAUUGUCUUCUGUGUUUAGCUAACUCUCCUUGAACUUCAAGGCUCGGAUCAGCUGCUCUUUCCUCCGGGACGAUGCUGGCCUUUCCAGUGUGGUUGAGGAUCUGGAGCACACAUUGUACAACUCUGCCUUCCCACGCUAUAACUCUAGGUCUUUUCAUCCUGCAUGUGCAAUUUUAACCAUGAUGGAAGGAGAAACUCUCUGGUCCAAAAAACUCAGCAUAUUUCUUAUCCACAGACACAGGUAAGUGGAAACAACCGUUCUUCCGUGUCGGCAUUAGUCAUUGUGAUCUGUUUUUAACUUGUUGCAGAGUCAAAUAACACUGGUACGUGUCAUAAAAUGUCUCCAAAUAUUCCUGGGCUUGUUCAUUUGCUUCAAGCACAUAAAGAGGCAAAUGUUAAAGCAAUGUGUUCUGAUCAAGAAACAGCUGGAAAUGGCAGCUGCCUGAUACGGAGCAAUCAAGAACGGAAGGUUUAUUUUGGACGAGAGGUGUUGUCCAACUGUGAGACUGAGUGAUUGCAGCUGAGAAUAAGUGCAAACACAAUCAAUAGUGGCUCCAGGUCUGAACUCAUUGAGAACCUGUCUUGUGUCACGUCUUUUUCUGCUGCCACAGUCACACUACAUCCGUAGACGCCGAUACUAUCCGUGGAGGAGGGAAAAAGUUCUUCAGUUUAUUCUUAUUCUUAAGGACAGCUUCUGAGCCGUCAUGAUUUGAAAUUACAAUGACCAAAAGGCUCCUUCAGAAAAAAAGAAACAAUAUAUUCCAAAGUCACAUUGUACAACGGACAGGUAAGAAUGCCUCAACUUUAAAUGGUCUUGGGUGGGCAUUGCCUCAAGAGCCAGCCAAGUUGUUCUCUGCUUUCUGGAGUUGUAUGACUAUGGGCGAAGUGAUUUCAUUCUUCCCGGUCCCUAACAGUGUUGUUAUUUUAUCGAUACAGACCGUAGAAGCAGCUCAAUAAAUAUUUUCUGUUGAACAAUC
This is a long non-coding RNA of Felis catus (domestic cat), 2381 nucleotides long. RefSeq lists it as uncharacterized. The record is from RefSeq and is a predicted model, not a curated record. The transcript is spliced from 4 exons. NCBI's taxonomy places the organism in Eukaryota, Metazoa, Chordata, Mammalia, Carnivora, Felidae.